This 59-nucleotide transfer RNA is filed under the name Acinetobacter baumannii. RNAcentral's name for it is "tRNA-Arg". It matches the Rfam family "tRNA", at positions 8 to 63 of the family's 71-position model. Rfam says of the family: Transfer RNA (tRNA) molecules are approximately 80 nucleotides in length. Their secondary structure includes four short double-helical elements and three loops (D, anti-codon, and T loops). Further hydrogen bonds mediate the characteristic L-shaped molecular structure. tRNAs have two regions of fundamental functional importance: the anti-codon, which is responsible for specific mRNA codon recognition, and the 3' end, to which the tRNAs corresponding amino acid is attached (by aminoacyl-tRNA synthetases). tRNAs cope with the degeneracy of the genetic code in two manners: having more than one tRNA (with a specific anti-codon) for a particular amino acid; and 'wobble' base-pairing, i.e. permitting non-standard base-pairing at the 3rd anti-codon position. The record is from RNAcentral. Lineage: Bacteria; Pseudomonadati; Pseudomonadota; Gammaproteobacteria; Moraxellales; Moraxellaceae.
UAGCUCAGCUGGAUAGAGCACUUGGCUACGAACUAAGGGGUCGGGAGUUCGAAUCUCUC